This 360-nucleotide long non-coding RNA is filed under the name Mus spicilegus (steppe mouse). RNAcentral's name for it is "lncRNA (ENSMSIG00000017313.1)". The record is from RNAcentral. Lineage: Eukaryota; Metazoa; Chordata; Mammalia; Rodentia; Muridae.
GAACACCUAAGGCCGAGGGCUGGCUUCAAACCUGAUCUUGUUCGCUCUCGCGAGCUCGUACUCCUUUUCGUUCGGCGCACAGGAUGGGAGGAAACUGAGUCUCCAAGUUACAAAUGGCUGUGUCCUGAGUUCAAGAAGCGAAGCUCGGGACUAGACAUGAUUUCAUGCCCAUGGCUCGCUCCCAAGCUGGAUCCAGCACCAGAAUUCAUGCCCCACCCCACCCCACCCCCGCCCUUCUGUACCAGGGAACCAGGCAGGCACUGGGGGACUAAAUCAGAGAGAACAGAAAAAAAGAAAAAAGAAGAAAAAAAGAAAAGAAAAAGGAAGACAAGCAAGGGUAGGAAACAAAGACAGAGGUAG